This is a long non-coding RNA of Zophobas morio, 503 nucleotides long. RefSeq lists it as uncharacterized. The transcript has 4 exons. NCBI's taxonomy places the organism in Eukaryota, Metazoa, Arthropoda, Insecta, Coleoptera, Tenebrionidae. The record is from RefSeq and is a predicted model, not a curated record.
CUGAAUCGGCUUCACGAUUGUCCAGAAACUUUUCGCUUAAUGCAAGAAAUAUUUUUAAAUGCCCAACGCGAGGUUGACCAAUGGAUAGGCAGCGCAGUAUUUCAUUUGGGCGACCACAAUGUUCCGAAUGCAUUAACUUUUAUUUCGAAGGCUUUUUUAUUCUAUUAAUAUUAUGAAAAUUUCCAAUAUUUAAUUAAAUAUAGUACACGCAAAUAUCGCAAAUUCUCACGCCGAUAUGCUCCUGUUUGCAAAACAUAAAAGGAAUUAGCGAAAACAAAUAUAUCGCUGAAUAUAUCAAAGAUGAAUUUGGUGGAAUUGAAUUGUUAACCAAAACAAUUCUUAAAGAUUUUUUCUGUCGAGCAUUUGAUGGAAGUGGCGCUGAUAAUUUUUAUGACGCUGGCUCCUGUAUAGAUGGUCGCUUGACUUCUGCUUGGAACUGGUGUUCCCAACUGAAAUCCAAACCUUUUUACUAUAUUUUUCUUCUUACGGGGUUUAUUGGCUUC